This 427-nucleotide ribosomal RNA is filed under the name uncultured bacterium. Its description in RNAcentral is "bacterial SSU rRNA". It matches the Rfam family "Bacterial small subunit ribosomal RNA", at positions 355 to 774 of the family's 1533-position model. The record is from RNAcentral.
UGGGGAAUUUUGGACAAUGGGCGCAAGCCUGAUCCAGCAAUGCCGCGUGCAGGAUGAAGGCCUUCGGGUUGUAAACUGCUUUUGUACGGAACGAAACGGCUCUGUCUAAUACAUGGGGCUAAUGACGGUACCGUAAGAAUAAGCACCGGUUAACUACGUGCCAGCAGCCGCGGUAAUACGUAGGGCGCAAGCGUUAAUCGGAAUUACUGGGCGUAAAGCGUGCGCAGGCGGUUAUAUAAGACAGAUGUGAAAUCCCCGGGCUCAACCUGGGACCUGCAUUUGUGACUGUAUAGCUAGAGUACGGUAGAGGGGGAUGGAAUUCCGCGUGUAGCAGUGAAAUGCGUGGGUAUGCGGAGGAACACCGAUGGCGAAGGCAAUCCCCUGGACCUGUACUGACGCUCAUGCACGAAAGCGUGGGGGGCAAACA